This 253-nucleotide ribosomal RNA is filed under the name uncultured bacterium. RNAcentral describes it as "partial 16S ribosomal RNA". It matches the Rfam family "Bacterial small subunit ribosomal RNA", at positions 524 to 776 of the family's 1533-position model. The record is from RNAcentral.
UACGUAGGGUGCGAGCGUUAAUCGGAAUUACUGGGCGUAAAGCGUGCGCAGGCGGUUUUUUAAGACAGAUGUGAAAUCCCCGGGCUUAACCUGGGGACUGCAUUUGUGACUGUAAGACUAGAGUGCGGCAGAGGGGGGUAGAAUUCCACGUGUAGCGGUGAAAUGCGUAGAUAUGUGGAGGAAUACCGAUGGCGAAGGCAGACCCCUGGGUCGACACUGACGCUGAUGCGCGAAAGCGUGGGGAGCAAACAGG